This 162-nucleotide ribosomal RNA is filed under the name uncultured bacterium. RNAcentral's name for it is "partial 16S rRNA". It matches the Rfam family "Bacterial small subunit ribosomal RNA", at positions 358 to 511 of the family's 1533-position model. The record is from RNAcentral.
GGAAUCUUCGGCAAUGGACGAAAGUCUGACCGAGCAACGCCGCGUGAGUGAAGAAGGUUUUCGGAUCGUAAAACUCUGUUGGUAGAGAAGAACGUUGGUGAGAGUGGAAAGCUCAUCAAGUGACGGUAACUGCCCAGAAAGGGACGGCUAACUACGUGCCAG